UACGGGGGGGGCAAGCGUUGUCCGGAAUUACUGGGCGUAAAGGGCUCGUAGGCGGCCAACUAAGUCCGACGUGAAAUCCCCAGGCUUAACCUGGGAACUGCGUCGGAUACUGGAUGGCUUGAAUCCGGGAGAGGGAUGCGGAAUUCCAGGUGUAGCGGUGAAAUGCGUAGAUAUCUGGAGGAACACCGGUGGCGAAGGCGGCAUCCUGGACCGGCAUUGACGCUGAUGAGCGAAAGCCAGGGGAGCAAACGGG
RNAcentral lists this ribosomal RNA (253 nucleotides) under uncultured bacterium. RNAcentral's name for it is "partial 16S ribosomal RNA". It matches the Rfam family "Bacterial small subunit ribosomal RNA", at positions 524 to 776 of the family's 1533-position model. The record is from RNAcentral.